GCAGGUGCUGGUGUGGAUGUUGGUGUGGGUGUUGGUGUGCACGUAUUGGUGUGCAGGUGUUGGUGUGGAUGUUGGUGUGGACAUUGGUGUGCAGGUGUUGGUGUGGGUGUUGGUGUGGACGUUGGCGUGCAGGUGUUGGUGUGGGUGUUGGUGUGCAGGUGUUGGUGUGGACAUUGGUGUGCAGGUGCUGGUGUGGAUGUUGGUGUGCAGGUGCUGGUGUGGACGUUGGUGUGCGGGUGUUGGUGUGCGUGUUGGUGUGCAGGUGCUGCUGUGGACAUGCGUUUUUGUUUCCCUUGGGCCGACACAUGGGUGUGGAAUCGCGGGUCCAAGGGUAC
RNAcentral lists this long non-coding RNA (335 nucleotides) under Homo sapiens (human). RNAcentral describes it as "non-protein coding lnc-UHRF1-3:4". Lineage: Eukaryota; Metazoa; Chordata; Mammalia; Primates; Hominidae. The record is from RNAcentral.